UUUCUUUCUUCCUCUCAAGGCUCAUUUAAUUUUUCUUUUUGCUCUUCUCAUGUCUUUCAAAUUCAGAGGGCCAAAUGCUUCUUCUGGAAUGGGUGUGGCUGAUCACGGCAAAAAUGCAUUCUUGGAGUUGAAGAGGAAGAAAGUUCAUAGAUACGUGAUUUUCAAAAUCGAUGAAAA
Molecule: long non-coding RNA, 177 nt
Organism: Solanum lycopersicum (tomato)
Lineage: Eukaryota; Viridiplantae; Streptophyta; Magnoliopsida; Solanales; Solanaceae
Source: RefSeq, a predicted model, not a curated record